RNAcentral lists this ribosomal RNA (468 nucleotides) under uncultured bacterium. RNAcentral describes it as "partial 16S ribosomal RNA". It matches the Rfam family "Bacterial small subunit ribosomal RNA", at positions 28 to 507 of the family's 1533-position model. The record is from RNAcentral.
GACGAACGCUGGCGGCGUGCUUAACACAUGCAAGUCGAACGGAAAGGCCCUGCUUUUGUGGGGUGCUCGAGUGGCGAACGGGUGAGUAACACGUGAGUAACCUGCCCUUGACUUUGGGAUAACUUCAGGAAACUGGGGCUAAUACCGGAUAGGAGCUCCUGCUGCAUGGUGGGGGUUGGAAAGUUUCGGCGGUUGGGGAUGGACUCGCGGCUUAUCAGCUUGUUGGUGGGGUAGUGGCUUACCAAGGCUUUGACGGGUAGCCGGCCUGAGAGGGUGACCGGCCACAUUGGGACUGAGAUACGGCCGAGACUCCUACGGGAGGCAGCAGUGGGGAAUAUUGCAGAAUGGGCGGAAGCGUGAUGCAGCAACGCCGCGUGCGGGAUGACGGCCUUCGGGUUGUAAACCGCUUUCGCCUGUGACGAAGCGUGAGUGACGGUAAUGGGUAAAGAAGCACCGGCUAACUACGUG